CCCCACUGCUAUCGGGAUAGGACUAAGACAUGCUAGUCGAGUGACUCAGGCAAAACGGGUCACGGCACACAGCUCAGUAACACGUGGCUAAUCUGCCCUUGGGACAAGAACAACCCCGGGAAACUGGGGCUAACUCUUGAUAGGCGAAGAACACUGGAAUGUGUCUUCACCCAAAAAACUUCACGUUAUCCUCGUGAAGUCGCCCAAGGAUGAGGCCGCGACCGAUCAGGUUGUUGGCGAGGUAAUGGCUCACCAAGCCUUUUACCGGUGCGGGCCGUGGGAGCGGGAGCCCGGAGAUGGGUACUGAGACAAGGACCCAGGCCCUACGGGGCGCAGCAGUCGCGAAAACUUUGCAAUAAGCGAAAGCUUGACAGGGCUAUCCCGAGUGCCAUCCGCUGAGGAAGGCUUUUACCCAGUCUAGAACGCUGGGGGAAUAAGGAGAGGGCAAGUCUGGUGUCAGCCGCCGCGGUAAUACCAGCUCUCCGAGUGGUGUGGAUGUUUAUUGGGCCUAAAGCAUCCGUAGCUGGCUAAGUUAGUCCCUUGUUAAAUCCACCGAAUUAAUCGUUGGAUUGCGGGGGAUACUGCUUGGCUAGGGGACGAGAGAGGCAGACGGUAUUUUCGGGGUAGGGGUGAAAUCCUAUAAUCCCGGGAAGACCACCAGUGGCGAAGGCUGUCUGCUAGAACGCGCCCGACGGUGAGGGAUGAAAGCUGGGGGAGCGAACCGGAUUAGAUACCCGGGCAGUCCCAGCUGUAAACGAUGCAGGCUAGGUGUUUGGACGGCCACGUGCCGUUCUAGUGCCGCAGGGAAGCUGUUAAGCCUGCCGCCUGGGGAGUACGAUCGCAAGAUUGAAACUUAA
Molecule: ribosomal RNA, 857 nt
Filed under: archaeon enrichment culture clone E24_3130
Lineage: Archaea
Description: bacterial SSU rRNA
Rfam family: Archaeal small subunit ribosomal RNA
Source: RNAcentral